GUGAGGAAUAUUUGUCAAUGGGCGAGAGCCUGAACCAGCCAAGUCGCGUGAAGGAAGAAGGAUCUAUGGUUCGUAAACUUCUUUUGCAGGGGAAUAAAGUGCAGGACGUGUCCUGUUUUGUAUGUACCCUGAGAAUAAGGAUCGGCUAACUCCGUGCCAGCAGCCGCGGUAAUACGGAGGAUCCGAGCGUUAUCCGGAUUUAUUGGGUUUAAAGGGUGCGUAGGUGGUUUGAUAAGUCAGCGGUGAAAGUUUGCAGCUUAACUGUAAAAAUGCCGUUGAAACUGUCGGACUUGAGUGUAAAUGAGGUAGGCGGAAUGCGUGGUGUAGCGGUGAAAUGCAUAGAUAUCACGCAGAACUCCGAUUGCGAAGGCAGCUUACUAAGCUACAACUGACACUGAAGCACGAAAGCGUGGGGAGCAAACAGGAUUAGAUACCCUGGUAGUCC
Molecule: ribosomal RNA, 445 nt
Filed under: uncultured bacterium
Lineage: Bacteria
Description: partial 16S ribosomal RNA
Rfam family: Bacterial small subunit ribosomal RNA
Source: RNAcentral